AGCUAAUAGAUACCCUGGUAGUCCACGCCGUAAACGUUGGGCGCUAGAUGUGGGGACCAUUCCACGGUCUCCGUGUCGCAGCUAACGCAUUAAGCGCCCCGCCUGGGGAGUACGGCCGCAAGGCUAAAACUCAAAGGAAUUGACGGGGGCCCGCACAAGCGGCGGAGCAUGCGGAUUAAUUCGAUGCAACGCGAAGAACCUUACCAAGGCUUGACAUACACCUGAAAAGGCUGGAAACAGUCUCCUCGCAAGACAGGUGUACAGGUGGUGCAUGGUUGUCGUCAGCUCGUGUCGUGAGAUGUUGGGUUAAGUCCCGCAACGAGCGCAACCCUCGUUCUAUGUUGCCAGCGCGUAAUGGCGGGAACUCAUAGGAGACUGCCGGGGUCAACUCGGAGGAAGGUGGGGAUGACGUCAAAUCAUCAUGCCCCUUAUGUCUUGGGCUUCACGCAUGCUACAAUGGCCGGUACAGAGGGCUGCAAUACCGUAAGGUGGAGCGAAUCCCAAAAAGCCGGUCUCAGUUCGGAUUGAGGU
This 531-nucleotide ribosomal RNA is filed under the name uncultured bacterium. Its description in RNAcentral is "bacterial SSU rRNA". It matches the Rfam family "Bacterial small subunit ribosomal RNA", at positions 767 to 1304 of the family's 1533-position model. The record is from RNAcentral.